This 78-nucleotide transfer RNA is filed under the name Promethearchaeota archaeon. Its description in RNAcentral is "Candidatus Lokiarchaeota archaeon (microbial mat metagenome) tRNA-Arg". It matches the Rfam family "tRNA". Rfam says of the family: Transfer RNA (tRNA) molecules are approximately 80 nucleotides in length. Their secondary structure includes four short double-helical elements and three loops (D, anti-codon, and T loops). The record is from RNAcentral. Lineage: Archaea; Promethearchaeati; Promethearchaeota. RNAcentral also lists the same sequence under 2 other names.
GGGCCCGUUGCCUAGUCUGGAUAGGGCGCUAGCCUUCUAAGUUAGAGGUCGCCGGUUCGAAUCCGGCCGGGCCCGCCA